GAGAGAGGAAGGACGGCCACCGGGUCUUAUGAUCUGAGGAAAGUCUCCCCACCAUCUAAAUACACGAGCGCCUGUAAAGGGCGUCGGGCGAGAGCUCGGGCAGUUGUUUACAACUCAUACAACCUUGGUUAAACCAAAGCCGUAUGCUGGCACAGAAACGAUACCACCCCAUGUUAAUGCUAUGAUUCCGCAAAGGAUGAGGUCGCAUGGUACGUGGAUGGAACGGCGAAACUUCGUGGGUGCAAGUCAAGUAAGGCGAGAACGGGUGUUUAGACCGCGUCUGAAAAUGGUACGCUUAGCCGAAUGCCGUCAAUGCAAGGUGCUCUUUUGAGCCGUAUUCAUAACAAAUAUGAAUAAUUUUGCACGAACAGAAGGGAGCUUACUCCCCUCACUC
RNAcentral lists this RNase P RNA (394 nucleotides) under Methanosarcinaceae archaeon. Its description in RNAcentral is "RNase P RNA component". It matches the Rfam family "Archaeal RNase P". Rfam says of the family: Ribonuclease P (RNase P) is a ubiquitous endoribonuclease, found in archaea, bacteria and eukarya as well as chloroplasts and mitochondria. Its best characterised activity is the generation of mature 5'-ends of tRNAs by cleaving the 5'-leader elements of precursor-tRNAs. Cellular RNase Ps are ribonucleoproteins. Lineage: Archaea; Methanobacteriati; Methanobacteriota; Methanomicrobia; Methanosarcinales; Methanosarcinaceae. The record is from RNAcentral.